Molecule: ribosomal RNA, 913 nt
Filed under: Cladophialophora brasiliensis
Lineage: Eukaryota; Fungi; Ascomycota; Eurotiomycetes; Chaetothyriales; Herpotrichiellaceae
Description: Fonsecaea brasiliensis LSU rRNA
Rfam family: Eukaryotic large subunit ribosomal RNA
Source: RNAcentral
AGCAUAUCAAUAAGCGGAGGAAAAGAAACCAACAGGGAUUGCCUCAGUAACGGCGAGUGAAGCGGCAACAGCUCAAAUUUGAAAUCUGGCCUCUUGGGGUCCGAGUUGUAAUUUGUAGAGGAUGUUUCGGGUACCGCUCCGGUCUAAAUUUCUUGGAACAGAAUGUCAAAGAGGGUGAGAAUCCCGUCUUGGACCGGCGGUAGGGCCUAUGUGAAACUCCUUCGACGAGUCGAGUUGUUUGGGAAUGCAGCUCAAAAUGGGUGGUAAAUUUCAUCUAAAGCUAAAUAUUGGCCAGAGACCGAUAGCGCACAAGUAGAGUGAUCGAAAGAUGAAAAGCACUUUGAAAAGAGAGUUAAACAGUAUGUGAAAUUGUUGAAAGGGAAGCGCUGGCAACCAGACUUGCGCGCGGCGGUUCCCCCUCCCUUUUGGUUGGGUUAUUCCGCCGUGUCCAGGCCAACAUCGGUUCUGGGGGUCGGUUAAAGGCCUUGGGAAUGUAUCUACCCUCCGGGCGUAGACUUAUAGCCCAGGGCGUCAUGCGACCACCCGGGACCGAGGAACGCGCUUCGGCUCGGAUGUUGGCGUAAUGGUUGUCAGCGACCCGUCUUGAAACACGGACCAAGGAGUCUAACAUCUAUGCGAGUGUUUGGGUGUCAAACCCGUAACGCGUAAUGAAAGUGAACGGAGGUAGGAAGCUUCGGCUGCACUAUCGACCGAUCCUGAAGUUUACGGAAGGAUUUGAGUAAGAGCAUAGCUGUUGGGACCCGAAAGAUGGUGAACUAUGCCUGAAUAGGGUGAAGCCAGAGGAAACUCUGGUGGAGGCUCGCAGCGGUUCUGACGUGCAAAUCGAUCGUCAAAUUUGGGUAUAGGGGCGAAAGACUAAUCGAACCAUCUGGUAGCUGGUUCCUGCCGAAGU